CUUCUUAGCCUUUCUUUUUCUGGUAAACUUUUUUCUUAUUUGAUCUUUCACAGAAAGCCUUGUUAUUAUAUCAUAUAUGUAAGGAAACUUCAUUUGUGAAUCCAGGUUCUGCGAAGCCAGCUCAUGCUUCUACGGAGUUCAAAGACACAGAAAGCAGCUGCUGCUGUAGGAGCUUCAGAUGUCAAGGGAAAAGCAAUUUCGUUUGAGAGUUCUCAAAAAGGACAGGCUGAAGGUGCAGAUACUUAAGGCUUGAUCAUCUGUAUAUAAAGUGCAAGUUGAAUUGUGGACAUUCAGUUAGAAUGGCAGCUGAACAAUGCUAUUUGUUAGAGGAUCUGUCAGUUGUGUUUUCUCUAGCGAUCUGGAAAUAGUUAUAUUGCUGGUCAGACAGGUUCUUGAAUUGGCCUCCUUAUUUCAGCACCAGGAAUAGGUGUUAUAUGUACAGGGCAUUGGCUUGUUGUGAGGAAAUAAUGAUUGUUUACUGGUGGAAAUAGUGGUGUAUUUUCUCAUAGAGAUGCAGUAAGUAUGAUAUUUGGUCAGUGAUAUGCAAGGGAAAUUGGCACAAACUCAUUUUUUGAGAAAGCAAAUGGUUCUCUCUCAUUUGUUCUGCAGAUUCAGAGAUCUUAUUUGUCAGAAUAAUGUAUAAGUUGGUGAUUCCUCUAGCUUGUUCCCAACUCGCUUUUAUUGCAGUCAACUUGUUGAAUGUAGUUCUAUAUAGUUUAAUGGAUAUUUUCUAUGCAAUAAUAAUUCUGGUCCCAUUGCUUCCCAA
Non-coding RNA from Nicotiana tabacum (common tobacco), 766 nucleotides. Lineage: Eukaryota; Viridiplantae; Streptophyta; Magnoliopsida; Solanales; Solanaceae. The record is from RefSeq and is a predicted model, not a curated record.